GUCGCGGCGCGCAGAGCGCAUCCUCGGCCGGCCCCGGGUCAGGCGCCGCGGGGCUGCAGCUUCUUUUUCCAAAACCCAGGGGUCUGACGGGGUGCCAGCGCCCAGGGGUGUGGGGCCUGCCCCAUCGGCACCAGGGAGGGGGCCAAGUGAGUCAGUCCACCCGCCCCCAACAGCCAAGGGCUCAAGGCUGCCGCUCUGACUUCCUCUGUAAAGCGUCGACACCCAGAAGGCCCCAAGCACUUCAUGCAGACUGGUCCGUGCGUGUCAAUGGUGAUCUUCCCAACAGACCUAGGACGUCACUCCGAUUAGCAAAGUCCCAAGUUACAGGAAUGGGUCAAAACAAGGCUGCCAGUUGCCUGCUCCUAUACUUGCUCUCUCAGGUCCCUCUCACUGGAGAGGGACUCACUCCUGCGAAGAUGUCCUGCAGAGCAGAUCCAUGCCAGCCCCUGGGUAACCUGCUCCCUGGCUUCAAAGCAUCCAGCAGGAGAAAGCACCUCAGAGGCGGAGAACAGACCUCAGCGAUUUGAUUUCUAAGCACCAGGCCUGCAGGCAGCAGCAAAGGGCACAGCGUGGGGCCUCGGCAGAGGCAGGGGCUUCCUGCCUCUCCCACAGCUGACGCCAGCAGACUUUCUCCAGGCCCCAUCGGGAACCGUCUUCUGGUCUCCCCGUCCCCAGACCCUGGAGAUGAUGGGAUGGCAGAAAGAAACCACGGCCUGAGUCAGGGUAGCGGCCUUUUCUCUGCUCAGCCUCUAACGAGGUGGGCGGCCUGGGAUCAUCCCUUCCCGGCUUUGAGCCUCAGUUUCUCCAUCUGCAUCACCAGAGAGGAUUUACCGGGGAAGGGCGUCCCUUUGCGAUGGUCCUGACGGCGGCCCAUGGGAGCCUCCAGAGGACCCGGGUCCCUUCGGGUGAACCACAAAGACGGGAAACACAGAGGACUCUAGCCACCUAGGGAGCAGGUGGUGAAGGCAUGUUCAUUUUAAAACUUGAUCGAGGUACCUUAUAACAAAGGACCUUUUCCGGGUAAUGAAAAAGAGCUGAAGCACCAGGGGCAGGAAAGUGUUAAUGAAUCUCUCCCCCUCCAACCAAAAUAAAAUGAAAUAAGAUAAAAAAUCCUCAACGACCCCCACCUCUUGCCAAGCCUGUCCAUCCUUCUCAGGGGCGGGGUUUUGGCUCCACAACCCAGCCUUCAUUUGAAUUGUGUACGUGAAAUCUACUACCAAAAGGCAUCUGCAGAACAAUGCAUUUAAUUUUAUUCCAUCCAUGUUGUUUUUAGGAUAUCUAUAAACUAAAGAGACCAAAGUAUGAGGAGGAGAGAUGGGGGGAUGGCAUGCUCUACUCGAUACAUAUUCUUUCUGUGUUGCCUGCUUUCAGUGAGGAAAUAUGGGUGGAUGGGGAGGGCACAUAAUCAGAAAUUAUAAAGUCACACGCAAAA
This is a long non-coding RNA of Suricata suricatta (meerkat), 1432 nucleotides long. RefSeq lists it as uncharacterized. The record is from RefSeq and is a predicted model, not a curated record. NCBI's taxonomy places the organism in Eukaryota, Metazoa, Chordata, Mammalia, Carnivora, Herpestidae. The transcript has 4 exons.